This 324-nucleotide ribosomal RNA is filed under the name uncultured eukaryote. Its description in RNAcentral is "partial 18S ribosomal RNA". It matches the Rfam family "Eukaryotic small subunit ribosomal RNA", at positions 1470 to 1796 of the family's 1831-position model. The record is from RNAcentral.
CCCUUAGAUGUUCUGGGCCGCACGCGCGCUACACUGAUGCAUUCAACGAGUUUCUUCCUGGUCCGAGAGGAAUGGGUAACCUUUUGAAAGUGCAUCGUGAUAGGGAUAGACUAUUGCAAUUAUUGGUCUUCAACGAGGAAUUCCUAGUAGACGUAGUUCAUCUGACUGCAUCGAUUACGUCCCUGCCCUUUGUACACACCGCCCGUCGCUCCUACCGAUUGAAUGCUCAGGUGAGCCAUUCGGACUUUCAUCAUGCUGGUUUCCAGUUUUGAUGAAGGAAAGUCUUGCGAACCUUAUCAUUUAGAGGAAGGAGAAGUCGUAACA